AACGAACGCUGGCGGCAUGCCUAACACAUGCAAGUCGAACGAGACCUUCGGGUCUAGUGGCGCACGGGUGCGUAACGCGUGGGAACCUGCCCUUAGGUUCGGAAUAACUCCCCGAAAGGGGUGCUAAUACCGGAUAAUGUCUUCGGACCAAAGAUUUAUCGCCUUUGGAUGGGCCCGCGUUGGAUUAGCUAGUUGGUAGGGUAAAAGCCUACCAAGGCGACUAUCCAUAGCUGGUCUGAGAGGAUGAUCAGCCACACUGGGACUGAGACACGGCCCAGACUCCUACGGGAGGCAGCAGUGGGGAAUAUUGGACAAUGGGCGAAAGCCUGAUCCAGCAAUGCCGCGUGAGUGAUGAAGGCCUUAGGGUUGUAAAGCUCUUUUACCCGGGAUGAUAAUGACAGUACCGGGAGAAUAAGCUCCGGCUAACUCCGUG
RNAcentral lists this ribosomal RNA (433 nucleotides) under uncultured bacterium. RNAcentral's name for it is "partial 16S ribosomal RNA". It matches the Rfam family "Bacterial small subunit ribosomal RNA", at positions 29 to 507 of the family's 1533-position model. The record is from RNAcentral.